AAUGAAACAUAGGGGUGUCUUCACAUCAUCGUGACGGCUGAGAUCAUACCCGUUGAACCUGUACGGAUCAUGCCGGCGUAGGGAUUGUUAUUAUGUUAUUA
This 101-nucleotide non-coding RNA is filed under the name Legionella spiritensis. RNAcentral describes it as "TPP sequence". It matches the Rfam family "TPP riboswitch aptamer (THI element)". Rfam says of the family: Vitamin B(1) in its active form thiamin pyrophosphate (TPP) is an essential coenzyme that is synthesised by coupling of pyrimidine and thiazole moieties in bacteria. The previously detected thiamin-regulatory element, thi box was extended, resulting in a new, highly conserved RNA secondary structure, the THI element, which is widely distributed in eubacteria and also occurs in some archaea. Analysis of operon structures identified a large number of new candidate thiamin-regulated genes, mostly transporters, in various prokaryotic organisms. The record is from Rfam by way of RNAcentral. Lineage: Bacteria; Pseudomonadati; Pseudomonadota; Gammaproteobacteria; Legionellales; Legionellaceae.